CCCGGGAUCCAAGCUUACGGCUACCUUGUUACGACUUCGGCUGAGCCAGGAUCAAACUCUGUUGUCGACGAAUUCGGCUGAGCCAGGAUCAAACUCUGUUGUCGACGAAUUCGGCUGAGAGGGUGACCGGCCACACUGGGACUGAGACACGGCCCAGACUCCUACGGGAGGCAGCAGUGGGGAAUAUUGCACAAUGGGCGCAAGCCUGAUGCAGCGACGCCGCGUGAGGGAUGACGGCCUUCGGGUUGUAAACCUCUUUCAGCAGGGAAGAAGCCACAGGUGACGGUACCUGCAGAAGAAGCGCCGGCUAACUACGUGCCAGCAGCCGCGGUAAUACGUAGGGCGCAAGCGUUGUCCGGAAUUAUUGGGCGUAAAGAGCUCGUAGGCGGUUUGUCGCGUCUGCUGUGAAAGCCCGGGGCUCAACCCCGGGUCUGCAGUGGGUACGGGCAGACUAGAGUGCAGUAGGGGAGACUGGAAUUCCUGGUGUAGCGGUGAAAUGCGCAGAUAUCAGGAGGAACACCGAUGGCGAAGGCAGGUCUCUGGGCUGUUACUGACGCUGAGGAGCGAAAGCAUGGGGAGCGAACAGGAUUAAGAUACCCCUGGUAGUCCAUGCC
Molecule: ribosomal RNA, 614 nt
Filed under: Kocuria rosea
Lineage: Bacteria; Bacillati; Actinomycetota; Actinomycetes; Micrococcales; Micrococcaceae
Description: bacterial SSU rRNA
Rfam family: Bacterial small subunit ribosomal RNA
Source: RNAcentral